UUUUUUUAUGUUUUUAUUUAAGUGUUUCAGGUUUAUUUCAUUGAUCAUGAAGGAGUCAACGGUCGAGUAAAUUCAAACCAAGUCAAGAACCAUCUCAACCGUUGAUCGAGUAGAAUGAGUAGGAGUAUUUUUAGCCAUUGAUUUGGAUGACCAAAAGAGAAGAGCAUCACCACCGUUUGAUCGAGUGACUUCUUGAAGGUUAUUUUGGUCCGUUUGAUCGAGUAAACAAGAAUGAGAAGCUCUCCAUCAUUGGAUCAAAUUUUGCACAACUCAAGAAGAUGCUCGAUUCUUUACUCGAACUUGAAUUAUUUGGAGACCAAGAAGUGAUGUCGCAUGUCCCACUUGUUCCCCUUCACUUCAUUAUUCAACGAACAAAUCAUUUACUCAUGCCCCUCACCAUUUCCAAUCAACUUUUCUAUCUCUUCCAAAGCAAACCAAAGACCAAUCUCCUCCACCCAUUGAUUUCGACAAACCCUCCUUGAAACUCUCUCUUUCAUCAUCUCGUUUUCGCAACCCCCUCACAAAGCUUUGAAGUCUUCAUUCCAAACCCUUCCCCAAAACGCUCCCUAUCACUCCUUAAGAAUCUGUUCCCCUUCACCAUUACUUCAACAAAGUUACUCGAUCACCUCCAAAGUCUAUCCUCAAGCAUUCAAUCGGUUUCAAGCUCAAAAUUUCAUCACCAAAGAAACCGAUUCCUUUCUCCUUUGAUACCUCUUAGAGAAGUGUUCUUGUUUGCCCUGUCAAAGCUUACCACCAAUCUCCAUGGAUCAAGAACGAAGAGUUCAUCUCGGGCAAAAAGAUCCUCUGUUGAUAAUGAGGAAGUUGAGGCAUUUGACAUGAGUGGAAUGACUGAACGCCAAAUUCACCAAGCUCGCCGUGCUCAAAGAUUAAGCUUGAUUCAAGGUUGAAGCUCAAGCUGCCCAGCCAUGCAAAGAGAAGAAGUAGCUCAGGGAAAGAGGGUCAUUGAAGCUGAAGAAGAACACCAUGAAGAGGCACCCUUUGAAGAAGCGGUUUCUGAGAUAAGAUUUAAAGGGCUUCAAAAGAUUUACAAAAGUUUUAAAAAGAUUUUUAAAGGUUUAAAAUUGUUUGAAAAGGAUUUUAAAAUAUUUACAAGGAAUUUUAAAAGGGUUUUAAAAUAUUUACAAGGGAUUUUAAAAGGGUUUUAAAAUAUUUACAAGGGAUGUUAAAGGGCUUUAAAAGAUUUACAAAGGUUUUUUAAAGAUUUUUAAAGGGUUUAAAAGUGUUUUGAAAGAUUUACAAGGGAUUUUAAAAGAUUUACAAGAGAUUUUUAAAGGGUUUAAAUGGAGUUUAAAGGAUGUACAAGGGUUUUUAAAAGAUUUUUGAAAAAUUUACAGGAAGACCCUUUAAAAACUCUUGUAAAUCUUUUUUAAACCUUUUAAAAUCCCUUGUAAAUCUUUUAAAAUCCUUUUAAAAUCCCUUGUAAAUAUUUUAAAACCCUUUUAAAAUCCCUUGUAAAUCUUUUAAAACCCUUUUAAAAUCCCUUGUAAAUCUAUUUCCCGCCAAAAAAUAUUUACAAGGAUUUUUAAAAGCCCUUUAACAGUUUUAAAAGUUUGGCGGAAAUUUUUAAAGGAUUUUUAAAGGAUUUUUGGGCAGGCAGAAAGUUUGGCGGAAAUUUUUUUUUUGGCGGGAAAAAAAAGUUUUGCGGGAAAAUUUCAGUUUCCAAUUACAUGUUUCUAUUAGAUGAUGGUAAUUUGGUCAUUUUGUUCAAGGGAAAAUGUAUUUUUUAAAAUGGACAACAUAAAACGGUAUUGUUGUAAAAUGGUAGUAAAAAAAGGGUAGUUUUGCAAAUUUCCCAAUUGUAUAUCCUAUUUUUUUGGUGUCGACAAAAAAAGAAAACAAAAGGCUGAUUUUAGUUUAAAAUAU
Molecule: small RNA, 1884 nt
Filed under: Arabidopsis thaliana (thale cress)
Lineage: Eukaryota; Viridiplantae; Streptophyta; Magnoliopsida; Brassicales; Brassicaceae
Description: ATSL167300
Source: RNAcentral